Molecule: ribosomal RNA, 301 nt
Filed under: uncultured bacterium
Lineage: Bacteria
Description: partial 16S ribosomal RNA
Rfam family: Archaeal small subunit ribosomal RNA
Source: RNAcentral
CAGCCGCGCGGGAAUACCAGCACCUCGAGUGGUCAGGAGGUUUAUUGGGCCUAAAGCAUCCGUAGCCGGUUGCAUAAGUUUUCGGUUAAAUCUAUGCGCUUAACGUAUAGGCCGCCGAAAAUACUGUGCAGCUAGGGAGUGGGAGAGGUACACGGUACUCGAUAGGAAGGGGUAAAAUCCUUUGAUCUAUUGAUGACCACCUGUGGCGAAGGCGGUGUACCAGAACACGUUCGACGGUGAGGGAUGAAAGCUGGGGGAGCAAACCGGAUUAGAUACCCGCGUAGUCCCUGUCUCUUAUACA